This 790-nucleotide ribosomal RNA is filed under the name uncultured bacterium. RNAcentral's name for it is "bacterial SSU rRNA". It matches the Rfam family "Bacterial small subunit ribosomal RNA", at positions 157 to 925 of the family's 1533-position model. The record is from RNAcentral.
CGAUUGCUAAUACCGCAUAAUGCAGCGGCACCUAAUGGUGACAGUUGUUAAAGCGGGGGAUCGAAAGACCUCGCGUCUGAAGAGGAGCCUGCGGCGGAUUAGCUAGUUGGUAAGGUAAUGGCUUACCAAGGCAACGAUCCGUAACCGGCCUGAGAGGGCGGUCGGUCACACUGACACUGACAUACGGGUCAGACUCCUACGGGAGGCAGCAGUCGGGAAUUUUGGGCAAUGGGCGAAAGCCUGACCCAGCAACGCCGCGUGAAGGAUGAAAUCCCUCGGGAUGUAAACUUCGCAAGAACGGGAAGAAUAAGUAGGGGACAAUACCCCCUAUGAUGACGGUACCGUUUGUAAGCUCCGGCUAACUCCGUGCCAGCAGCCGCGGUAAUACGGGGGGAGCAAGCGUUGUUCGGAUUUACUGGGCGUAAAGGGCGCGUAGGCGGCCAGCACAAGUCAGUUGUGAAAUCUCCGAGCUUAACUCGGAAAGGUCAACUGAUACUGUGCGGCUAGAGUGCGGAAGGGGCAACUGGAAUUCUUGGUGUAGCGGUGAAAUGCGUAGAUAUCAAGAGGAACACCUGCGGCGAAGGCGGGUUGCUGGGCCGACACUGACGCUGAGGCGCGAAAGCCAGGGGAGCGAACGGGAUUAGAUACCCCGGUAGUCCUGGCCUUAAACGAUGAAUGCUUGGUGUCUGGGGUUAUAUAGUCCCCGGGUGCCGUCGCUAACGCUUUAAGCAUUCCGCCUGGGGAGUACGGUCGCAAGACUGAAACUUAAAGGAAUUGACGGAAUCGAAUU